Molecule: long non-coding RNA, 409 nt
Filed under: Danio rerio (zebrafish)
Lineage: Eukaryota; Metazoa; Chordata; Actinopteri; Cypriniformes; Danionidae
Description: lncRNA si:ch211-128n12.3 (ENSDARG00000101658.2)
Source: RNAcentral
GUGCCAUGGCACAUUAGCUAUUUACAUGGCGGACUUUGAUUCCUGUUGCUAAGGAAUGUGUGGUUAUAUUUCAGCAAGUGUGAAGCAUGGAAGCUGCAGAAGUGAUAAGGUGUUGGGUGGUGUCCAUGUGCACUCACCAAUUCAAACCCUGAAGAGUCAGCUGACAAAUUCCAUCGCUUCUCUUGACCAUCUUGGCUUUGAUGUCAUAUCAUCUCUGCCCAAAGCUCUUCUGCUCUCACACCUCAGAUGCCUCAGUGAAUGCUGGCGAGGGCAACUUGAAAGCUUGAGGUGAUAGAGAGAGACAGUGGUAGCUGCCGAACAGUGCUACUGACUUAAGCACAAUCUCAAGAGCCUUCCUGUCAAAUUGUACCAUGCUGUCGGAGGGAAAAUAAAAAAAAUAAAAAAUAAA